This 279-nucleotide unclassified non-coding RNA is filed under the name Hevea brasiliensis (rubber tree). The record is from RNAcentral. Lineage: Eukaryota; Viridiplantae; Streptophyta; Magnoliopsida; Malpighiales; Euphorbiaceae.
GUCAAAUAUAACGAAGUCCAGUCAUAACCCAUUAAAGAUGAAAUGGAGAAGUUUGUCAACAUCCAGACCAGAGAAGGUUGUCGGAAAACCAUAUUCAGCAUCCCUAGUUCUGUCACAAUCAAGUUGAUAGCACUAAAGAAAUGGAUGGGUAGAUCUUUCUAUCAAAGGGGAAAAGGAAAAUACUCCAACAAUUGUCAGAGCAGCAAGUUGUGUCACCCUCUGUAUUUACCUCCAUGCUUACUUGAAGCUCUGAUCUUGCAAAUCGCCUGCACAACUUCA